RNAcentral lists this ribosomal RNA (557 nucleotides) under Bacillus thuringiensis. RNAcentral describes it as "bacterial SSU rRNA". It matches the Rfam family "Bacterial small subunit ribosomal RNA", at positions 360 to 907 of the family's 1533-position model. Lineage: Bacteria; Bacillati; Bacillota; Bacilli; Caryophanales; Bacillaceae. The record is from RNAcentral.
AAUCUUCCGCAAUGGACGAAAGUCUGACGGAGCAACGCCGCGUGAGUGAUGAAGGCUUUCGGGUCGUAAAACUCUGUUGUUAGGGAAGAACAAGUGCUAGUUGAAUAAGCUGGCACCUUGACGGUACCUAACCAGAAAGCCACGGCUAACUACGUGCCAGCAGCCGCGGUAAUACGUAGGUGGCAAGCGUUAUCCGGAAUUAUUGGGCGUAAAGCGCGCGCAGGUGGUUUCUUAAGUCUGAUGUGAAAGCCCACGGCUCAACCGUGGAGGGUCAUUGGAAACUGGGAGACUUGAGUGCAGAAGAGGAAAGUGGAAUUCCAUGUGUAGCGGUGAAAUGCGUAGAGAUAUGGAGGAACACCAGUGGCGAAGGCGACUUUCUGGUCUGUAACUGACACUGAGGCGCGAAAGCGUGGGGAGCAAACAGGAUUAGAUACCCUGGUAGUCCACGCCGUAAACGAUGAGUGCUAAGUGUUAGAGGGUUUCCGCCCUUUAGUGCUGAAGUUAACGCAUUAAGCACUCCGCCUGGGGAGUACGGCCGCAAGGCUGAAACUCAAAGG